AGCAGCCGCGGUAAUUCCAGCUCCAAUAGCGUAUAUUAAAGUUGUUGCAGUUAAAAAGCUCGUAGUUGAAUUUCGGGAUCAAGGGAUCGGUCAUGCCUUGGUAUGUACUGGUCUUAUUGGUUCUCACCUUCUAAAGAACCAUGAUGUCAUUCAUUUGAUGUUAUGGGGAAUUAGGACUGUUACCUUGAAAAAUUAGAGUGUUUAAAGCAAGCUUACGCUUGAAUACAUUAGCAUGGAAUAAUGAAAUAGGACAUCAGAUUCUAUUUUGUUGGUUUCUAGGAUCGAUGUAAUGAUUAAUAGGGAUAGUUGGGGGCAUUAGUAUUCAAUUGUCAGAGGUGAAAUUCUUGGAUUUAUUGAAGACUAACUACUGCGAAAGCAUUUGCCAAGGAUGUUUUCAUUAAUCAAGAACGAAAGUUAGGGGAUCGAAGACGAUCAGAUACCGUCGUAGUC
Molecule: ribosomal RNA, 450 nt
Filed under: uncultured Glomus
Lineage: Eukaryota; Fungi; Glomeromycota; Glomeromycetes; Glomerales; Glomeraceae
Description: SSU rRNA
Rfam family: Eukaryotic small subunit ribosomal RNA
Source: RNAcentral